GCGCGAGUGGUGGAAUUGGCAGACACGCAGGAUUUAGGUUCCUGUGCUUCGGCGUGCGGGUUCAAGUCCCGCCUCGCGCACCA
RNAcentral lists this transfer RNA (83 nucleotides) under Kocuria coralli. RNAcentral describes it as "Kocuria sp. SCSIO 13007 tRNA-Leu". It matches the Rfam family "tRNA". Rfam says of the family: Transfer RNA (tRNA) molecules are approximately 80 nucleotides in length. Their secondary structure includes four short double-helical elements and three loops (D, anti-codon, and T loops). Further hydrogen bonds mediate the characteristic L-shaped molecular structure. tRNAs have two regions of fundamental functional importance: the anti-codon, which is responsible for specific mRNA codon recognition, and the 3' end, to which the tRNAs corresponding amino acid is attached (by aminoacyl-tRNA synthetases). tRNAs cope with the degeneracy of the genetic code in two manners: having more than one tRNA (with a specific anti-codon) for a particular amino acid; and 'wobble' base-pairing, i.e. permitting non-standard base-pairing at the 3rd anti-codon position. Lineage: Bacteria; Bacillati; Actinomycetota; Actinomycetes; Micrococcales; Micrococcaceae. The record is from RNAcentral.